Molecule: ribosomal RNA, 565 nt
Filed under: uncultured bacterium
Lineage: Bacteria
Description: partial 16S ribosomal RNA
Rfam family: Bacterial small subunit ribosomal RNA
Source: RNAcentral
UGGGGAAUAUUGGACAAUGGGCGCAAGCCUGAUCCAGCCAUGCCGCGUGAGUGAUGAAGGGCCCUAGGGUUGUAAAGCUCUUUCAGCGAGGAGGAUAAUGACGUUACUCGCAGAAGAAGCCCCGGCUAACUUCGUGCCAGCAGCCGCGGUAAUACGAAGGGGGCUAGCGUUGUUCGGAAUCACUGGGCGUAAAGCGCACGUAGGCGGACUUUUAAGUCAGGGGUGAAAUCCCGGGGCUCAACCUCGGAACUGCCUUUGAUACUGGAAGUCUGGAGUCCGAGAGAGGUGAGUGGAACUCCGAGUGUAGAGGUGAAAUUCGUAGAUAUUCGGAAGAACACCAGUGGCGAAGGCGGCUCACUGGCUCGGUACUGACGCUGAGGUGCGGAAAAGCGUGGGGAGCAAACAGGAUUAGAGUACCCUGGUAGUCCACGCCGUAAACGAUGGAAGCUAGCCGUCAGGGUGCAUGCAUCUUGGUGGCGCAGUUAACGCAUUAAGCUUCCCGCCUGGGGAGUACGGUCGCAAGAUUAAAACUGCAAAUGAAUUGACGGGGUCAUAGCUGUUUCCU